Long non-coding RNA from Dipodomys ordii (Ord's kangaroo rat), 314 nucleotides. RefSeq lists it as uncharacterized. The transcript has 3 exons. The record is from RefSeq and is a predicted model, not a curated record. Lineage: Eukaryota; Metazoa; Chordata; Mammalia; Rodentia; Heteromyidae.
GUGUGCAGGCCGGGUGGCGCCCAUGGUGUGCAGGCCGGGUGGCGCCCAUGGUGUGCUGGCCGCACGCUCUGCAGGUUCCCACCGCCCGGCCUCUGCCGUGCACGCGUGCCUCUCAGCGUCGCCAGCCUACUCAUGGGGCCGUGGGCAGUUGCUGGGGUGCCGGCCCUCAGUGGGGUCAGUGCAAAGGUCAGUGCAGACCCUCGGGGCUGCAGGGGCGGCCAUCUGGUCCUACGGACGCCCCUCGGGCAAGCACGGCCUCUGGGCGGCGGGCCCCUGCCUGCUCCUUGGCCCUGGCCCAGACCCCCACACCACAG